GGGGAUGCAAGGCAUAGACAGUUGGCCUUUUGCUCUCGAUGCAUACCGAGCAUGAACAUAACCUCGUUAAAAUUUGUUCAAAUGUUAAUUGCAAAAUUAACUUCAGCAAUCCGUUCGCCUUACUUCGGUAAUGCGUUCGCAUUAGCUCCAGUGACCGCUUCGGCGUAAGCUGGUGUCUCGCUUAUGGACUUCCGAUAUAUAAGCUGAGGCAUAAUAUUAUCGGGAUUAGGGAGAGGACCGCCAUGACCGCUUCCGAAAUCAAAGUGGCUCGAUUGAAAAAUAUUUGGCGCGUUUCUUAAUUUUUCAAUUUAAUCCGCCAGCCGGCGGAAAAAAGCGCGCUAAGUAUGUAGACUUCUUGGCGAUAACCUUCUGCACCGGGGUUCAAUUCCCCGCAUCUCCACUG
RNAcentral lists this transfer-messenger RNA (403 nucleotides) under Candidatus Nomurabacteria bacterium RIFCSPHIGHO2_12_FULL_44_22b. It matches the Rfam family "transfer-messenger RNA". From Rfam's summary of the family: Bacterial tmRNA, also known as 10Sa RNA or SsrA, is named for its dual tRNA and mRNA-like properties. Lineage: Bacteria; Candidatus Nomuraibacteriota. The record is from RNAcentral. RNAcentral also lists the same sequence under 3 other names.